Eriocheir sinensis (Chinese mitten crab) is the source of this 590-nucleotide long non-coding RNA. RefSeq lists it as uncharacterized. The transcript has 3 exons. Lineage: Eukaryota; Metazoa; Arthropoda; Malacostraca; Decapoda; Varunidae. The record is from RefSeq and is a predicted model, not a curated record.
GAUUGACAGAUAGAUUGAUGGAUUGACAGAUAGAUUGAUGGAUUGACAGAUAGAUUGAUGGAUUGACAGAUAGAUUGAUGGAUUGACAGAUAGAUUGACGGAUUGACAGAUAGAUUGAUGGAUUGACAGAUAGAUUGAUGGAUUGACAGAUAGAUUGAUGGAUUGACAGAUUGAUGGAUUGACAGAUAGAUUGACGGAUUGACAGAUAGAUUGACGGAUUGACAGAUAGAUUGAUGGGUUGACAGAUAGAUUGAUGGGUUGACAGAUAGAUUGAUGGAUUGACAGAUAGAUUGAUGGAUUGACAGGUAGAUUGAUGGAUUGACAGAUAGAUUGAUGGAUUGACAGAUAGAUUGAUGGAUUGACAGAUAGAUUGAUGGAUUGACAGAUAGAUUGAUGGAUUGACAGAUAGAUUGAUGGAUUGACAGGUAGAUUGAUGGAUUGACAGGUAGAUUGACGGAUUGACAGGUAGAUUGAUGGAUUGACAGAUAGAUUGAUGGAUUGACAGAUAGAUUGACGGAUUGACAGGUAGAUUGACGGAUUGACAGGUAGAUUGAUGGAUUGACAGAUAGAUUGAUGGAUUGACAGAUUGA